RNA transcript from Penaeus chinensis, 1719 nucleotides. It is a transcript of the gene named collagen alpha-1(I) chain-like, with no coding region annotated. Lineage: Eukaryota; Metazoa; Arthropoda; Malacostraca; Decapoda; Penaeidae. The transcript has 5 exons. The record is from RefSeq and is a predicted model, not a curated record.
GAUUGGUCGGCAAAGUCCCUAAACGGUCUGCAAGGUGGACGCUGAUUGGCUGAAUCGAUCGGUUUCCCGUAUUCGCCCUUGGCUUCGUGGUGCGAGUCGCGGAGGAAGGAACGAGCUGGGAUUUUCAGGGUUUGGUUCCUUGGAACUAAGUUUUCCCCUCGGAGCUUGCGUCCAUUGGCUGCCUGAGAGCGUAGAGGUUGCGUAGAAGUGGGCAGAGGCGCCAUGACGCGGCAGAGCAACGGGUACAUGGAGCGGCGCGGGGGCGCACGGGGCGGGCGGGGCCGCGGCUUCUGCAGUCGCGGCCGCGGCGGUGGCGGCGGCGGGCAACGGGGAGGCCAAAGGGGCGGCCCUGGUGGAGGGCACAAACCGCCGCCGCUCAUGUCGCGCCCCAUGCCUCCCCCGCCAGGCAUGAGGCGCCCGCCUAACAUGGGACCCCCCCAUGGACCUAUGGGGCCGCCACCCCCCAUGGGCCCCCCACCCGGUAGGAUGGGUCCUCCUGGUCCCGGGAGGAGGCCUGCGCCCAUGGGUCCACCCGGCAGGAUGGGCCCACCUGGACCCGGACCUAUGGGCCCUCCCCCACCCCGCGGCGCCAUGGGCAUGCGUGGUCGAGGGGGCAUGCGGGGCAUGAUGGGCCCCCCUCCCCCCAUGGGCCCCCCCUUCAGACCUGGACCCCCUGGCCCUGGCAUGAUGGGGCCACCAGGACCGCCCAUGAGGGGGCGAGGCAGGGGCAUGCUUCGGGGGCGUGGGCCCAUGCGAGGCCGCGGGGGGGGAAUCCUCAACAAAAAGGACAAGCAGGGAGAAAUGAACAAGCCGUGGGUGACAGAAGCCAUGAAGAAUGAGAUCAUGAAGAAGCACAAGCUGCACCAGAAGGCAAAGAAGACCAAGAGCAAGGAAGACUGGGAUGGGUUCAAGGAGCAGCGCAACAAAGUGACCACCAUGCUCCGUGAGGCCAAGCUGGAGUACAUCGGCGCACACCCAGAGGAGUGAUCCAGUGUGACUGGAUGGUUCUUCCAGUAUGCAAGGAGAGACUCUAACUCGCAGUUGAACUUUAAGAGAAAAAAAAAAAAGUAAAGUUCACAUCAAGUUUGUGACACUCUGGGGUGCCUUGUUGUGUCAAUGGGGUACCUGGUUUUAAGAGUGAAAAGGGUUACUACAUUGCCAUCGACAUGACCAAAGAUGUCCUUGCACACCUUAAGGAACAUAAUAAAAACAUCUGGUUGACUCUGCAUCUUGGUUGCUUGGCUUUUACUGAGUAAUGGAAGGAGGAGGGAAAAUGACAUGAGCCGCACAUUACUGUCAUUGAAUGCAGUGUGAGUUUGAUUGUUGUUUAGCUGCAAAGAGGAUCCCGAAAGAAGAGAGUUGUAAGCAGAAGGUCUCUUGGCAAUGUGAUCCUGUAUCAGUUUUUUAUAGAGAUAGCUCAAAGGAAUCUGAUUCCUGUUAAGAAGGUGAAUGGAAUAGGAUAGCUGAUGGGACCGAAAGGGAAGAAUGGGGAUCAUCCUGUUCCCCCCAAGGAAGGGAAGAGGGAAGGAAAAGAGUACUACUGGGUGGGGAAGGUUGAAAUAAAAGCACACUAGGAGAACCUCCAUUUCUGUUACCCAUAGGAGUGAGGGAGAAGUUCUCAAAAAUGUGAAUGUGGUCCCCCAUUUUUCCCCCAUUUUCUAUGGAGCAUUUUAUAUAUAUAUAUAUAUAUAUAUAUAUAUAUAUAUAUAUAUAUAUAUA